AUUGAACGCUGGCGGCAUGCCUUACACAUGCAAGUCGAACGGUAACGGGCCUUCGGGUGCCGACGAGUGGCGAACGGGUGAGUAAUACAUCGGAACGUGCACGAUCGUGGGGGAUAACGAGGCGAAAGCUUUGCUAAUACCGCAUACGAUCUACGGAUGAAAGCAGGGGACCGCAAGGCCUUGCGCGGACGGAGCGGCCGAUGGCAGAUUAGGUAGUUGGUGGGAUAAAAGCUUACCAAGCCGACGAUCUGUAGCUGGUCUGAGAGGAUGAUCAGCCACACUGGGACUGAGACACGGCCCAGACUCCUACGGGAGGCAGCAGUGGGGAAUUUUGGACAAUGGGCGCAAGCCUGAUCCAGCCAUGCCGCGUGCAGGAUGAAGGCCUUCGGGUUGUAAACUGCUUUUGUACGGAACGAAAAGCCUUCUUUUAAUACAGGAGGGUCAUGACGGUACCGUAAGAAUAAGCACCGGCUAACUACGUG
This 482-nucleotide ribosomal RNA is filed under the name uncultured bacterium. Its description in RNAcentral is "partial 16S ribosomal RNA". It matches the Rfam family "Bacterial small subunit ribosomal RNA", at positions 30 to 507 of the family's 1533-position model. The record is from RNAcentral.